Molecule: long non-coding RNA, 244 nt
Organism: Megalobrama amblycephala (Wuchang bream)
Lineage: Eukaryota; Metazoa; Chordata; Actinopteri; Cypriniformes; Xenocyprididae
Exons: 3
Source: RefSeq, a predicted model, not a curated record
UGAUUGCGAGCUCACGUGGAGAGUUUGUUCGUGCCUCAAGCUCAUUUGUGAAUCGUGAAUCAAAAGCAGGGGAGAAAUAACGCUGAAUAGGCCCUCUGUGAGAUUUGGAUUGUGUUCAAUAAUUCAGGAUCCAAAUGUAUGGCAGGAACAAAGGAGUUCAGGAAGAACAUAAAGAUGACCACCCCAAGGACAGUCAGACACUUGACCAGGAGGAUUUUGUCAGUUAUUCUGUGCUGUAAAAGAC